UUUAUUUAUUUAUGUUUAUUAUUGACCAAAGAAAAUCUCUUGCAUUUACCUCAUUCACAAAUUCCCUUCCUUGAUCAGUUAUAAUUUCGGAGGGUGGCCCAAGGGUGUAAAUCAUUUGCACUGUGGACCGGGCAACACUGUCUUUCAGUGGGCAGGCCACAACCCACUUGAUAAAUAGAUCUGCCGUUGUGAUGACAAAUUUAUUUUAUUCCAUUCUAUUUCUUGUUAUUUCAAAGGGGCAUGUAAGGUCCACACCCAUUAUUUCCCAUCUUCCCUCAGCCUUGAUGGGAUGCAGUUGUGAACCCAGGAUUUUUAUUUUCUUAAAGAAUUGCCACUUAGGACAGAUGUUUAUCUGAAAAUUACAAUAAUGGCACAUAUUUUAUAAAUAAAUGUUAAACGGAGUGGGUGUGAGAGAAUCGCCAACCAUCUAAGCACCCCUUUAACUACUUUGGGAAAGGGAGGAAUGAUCGUCCUUCCUCUUCGUUAAGGGCGGAGUGUCUCGCCCAAGGUUUCUCUUCUUCUCUCGAAUCCUCGAGCAGAAGUGACUCCGGCUGCUGACUCCUAAUGAUACAGCGUCACCGCUUCGGAGCAACGCCUCGAGUGCCCUCGUCACCACCCCCUCCCUCCUUGGUAAAGGGAACUCUGCAGGAGCUGACAUCGAGAGGUCAGCAGACACCAGGCGGCAGACAGCUCUCACCACCUGCCAUAACUACACGUCCGUUCAGCUGUUCUCCUCUAUCACUCCAGAAGGCUUCGGUGAAGAUUGUGGGCUGAUCUCAUCUGCCUUCAGUACCUGGCAUUAAUCUGCCGUCGGUCCCAACUCGUUCCUGGUUCAACCCCUACCGGUCGAAGCGAGAUUCCUACGGCUGCCAGGACGCCGGCCUCCAAGGACUCCCCUAGGAUUCUUGGUGAUAUUGCCGGAUAUUUCUAUUAUUGUUGGGUUGUGGGUUUGUUUUUGUUAAUUAUAACUGGAGUACGUUCUUCCUCGUUUUCUUUACAUCCCAAUCUUGAAGGGGUGUUGACGGGAAGAGUAGCCAGCCCGGUCCUGACAUAUUGGCGACUUCGCCAGGAUUCGGCUGCUGUUAACGUCUUCGCAACUUGUGCAGAUUGAGCGUGUGUAAUUAGCUAGUGUUCGCCCUUGCUACCUGAAGCCCGGGAGUAAGGAUUCAUGGUGAGUGUGGAUGUUGUCUCCUCGCCAGCACUACCAAGUGCGUUCGGGUGUUUUCAACGCCCUGGAUUGUGAGGUGAGAUGCGGAUUUGUUGUUCUCUCACCCGACUCUUGUCAAGAGUUGUUGUUGUUGUCGUCUUUUAGUGAGGUGUAGUUUUGUCCUCUCGCUUACACUGCCACGUGUUUUUGACUUGAUAAACAUUGACAACGUUUGUUUGUGUCUGUUGUGUGGUCAUUUUUUUGUUACCAUCUUCCGCCAUCCAUUUAACAUGCUUGAUUUUGAGCAGUUCAAGCCGAGUACUUGGGUCUGGAAGGCACGGAGGUGAGCCAAUGGAUCAGGGAACAGUGGGCAUUCCUGCGGGAGGAACGUCAGCGAGAGCGAGAAAACGAGAGCAAGCGGAGUGAGCAGAAAGACGAAAGCAAGCCGAGCAAGCAGAAAAACGAGAGCAAGUAGAAAGAGAGAGGAGAUUAGACUGGCGGAGAUUCAGGCUUCGGCUACCAGGCCGAUACAGCCUUUAACAUUAAGUGAUCCUGUUACCAGGCCUACCUUACCUGGCUACAAGGAUGAAGAUAUUGCUACUUACCUGGCAAGAUUCGAACGGGUGGAAGCCUUGUUAAAAAUUGACAUAGUUAUGCCGCUCGACUUCGUUGUCUUCUCACGGGAGCGAAGAGACGUGAAGCUGGAGGAUGUGGCCAGCCUUGCGGAUUGUUGGGUGUCUGCCCAUAACGUCUAUCCAAAGGAUUCUACAUAUCUACGACCCAAGAAGUUGCCACCCAGGGAUAUGCCUCCUUCUAAGCAAAUCGUUUCUCCUCCUGCGAAGCCCGCUGUGUCCACGGUGAGGUGUCACAACUGUGGAGAGGAGGGCCAGAUAGAUAGAUAGAUAGAUAGAUUUAUUGACCACAAAAUAAUUAUAAAUAUCCACAGCAAGCAAGUAUUGUAGUCCACAAUUUUGUUAAUCAUUAGAUCACUAUACUGAAAUUUCAGCACAAGAGCUCAAAAAAAAAAAAAAUAAAAUAAAAUUUGACUUAAAUUUUGGUAACACAUUUCUCCUUUCUUCAACUAAAAUAACCAUUUGAAACACUGAUACAAAUCAAGAAUUAAUCACACCCAUACAUUUCAUCUGUACACCUUAAGCACAUCAUAAUUCACAUUACAGAUCACAUUGUUUGACCAUUUUGUAAAAAUAUCCUCCAUAGUUCGGUAGGAAUAACGGUCUCUCAAAUGUUGGGUGAGAGCACACUGCUCUACCACGUGCUUCUCCGUCUGCACCUCACCACACGGGCACAGCCGCUCUUCCAACGGUAAGCGGCCACGCCCUUGCCUGUUCCAUCUCCCAGUUUCUAUGGCUAGGGUGUGGCCAGAAAGUCGAAACCUCGUAAAUUCCAAUCUAUGAUAUUCAUUUACAAAUUUCCUUUCAGUGUAAAUGGUAUGUGUACUUUGAGUAGGAUUAAUAUCUCUGUAUACAAUACAUCUUGAACCACUUGAUUCCGCCACACUUCUCUUUGCUUUUUCUAAUAAUAUUGACAUAUUAUUAUGACAC
This is a long non-coding RNA of Scylla paramamosain (green mud crab), 2709 nucleotides long. RefSeq lists it as uncharacterized. Lineage: Eukaryota; Metazoa; Arthropoda; Malacostraca; Decapoda; Portunidae. The transcript has 2 exons. The record is from RefSeq and is a predicted model, not a curated record.